Non-coding RNA from Penaeus vannamei (Pacific white shrimp), 173 nucleotides. The record is from RefSeq and is a predicted model, not a curated record. Lineage: Eukaryota; Metazoa; Arthropoda; Malacostraca; Decapoda; Penaeidae.
UGUGCUGCGUACUUUUAAAUUAUUCUUGUUUUAUGAAGAUUUGGGCUAGCCACACUCUUUUCACCUCACAAUCACGUGCACGUUCAAGCGUACGUGUAUGUUGUCAUCUUGCAAGUUGGAUACACUGCUCAUACCUACCAGCUUGUGAACACGACAAUAAAGGUUUAACUGAC